UUAGAAAAUGUACGUAGAAAUUCUAACUACCCGUCGUAAUAGGUAAAAAAAAAAAUAGAAUCAUCCAAGAUUAAGCCUCAGUUUAGAAUCACCGAGAUACAAAAUCGAAAAUUAAAAUAUGUGCAUGGGGGUUUAUACCUAACGUGACUUUCUUUUACCUUGAUUAUUGCCCAGUAUGAAAUGAUGAUUAAAUUAAAGUAAUUAAAAACCCCUUUACAUUCUGAUGCAAAGCAAGGAACAAUUAUUAAGAAAUGACUUAAGAAUGUCAAAUAAGUAGCAAAAGUGUAAAGAAUUAAGAAUGCUCUCGUCUCAAAAUACGAACAUUGUCCAUAAACAACUGUACCCUCCGAAACAAAGGAGCUUCCAUUCCAUCUUUGGCCUUUUGAGCACGAUCUCUCAAAUCCGCGAUGUUACCAAACUCAACUUCUAGCUCAUGACGUUCAGUGGUAUCGUAAACUGGGUCAUUUUGAGUAGUUUUAGUCAAAUCAAUUUUAAUUUCCUGAUGCACAUAGCCAACGCGAUCUUUAAGUCGUGUCAAACUUGGUUGUUGAUUACCUGAAGGCAUUGAAACAGGUAAUUCGUCGCUGAUGGAAAUUCGUAUAUCAAAAGCAUCAUUAGGGCAAUAUAAAAAUAAAUCAGCAACUCUUCGCUUUUUCACACAGGCCAAAACUUGAUUGUCACUUUGAUUUUUUGAGACGCGUAUUUUAUCUCGUGAGUUAUCUUCAGUUUCAUAGAACAAAUCUACUUGCUUUGUAUGCUUAUAGGCAAAAGGAAGCCGUCCAGGUUUUUGUGAAUCACGAAAUGCCUGAUUAAGAAACUCAUUCAAAUAUUUAUGCUCGGAAGCGGUCAUAUCACUUUCAAACCGAGUACGAAGAUUAAAUUCCGGGUUUAAAAUAGUUUCAUUCAUCACCGGAAACUCAAAUCGAUUUUGAGUUUCCAAGUCAAUUAAUGUACCAAGUUUCGCCUCAAUCUAAAAUAAGAAAAAAUCAGUUAGUAGAACGUAUGACUAAAAACAUUUACCAACCUCCACAUGUUCAACAGGUUCAGUUAUCAAAUAAUGUGUAAGAAAGUUUGAAAUAACUUUAGUCGUAUCUGGAACAAUCGGUUUAUUUAAGAAGUUCAUUUCUAUCUUUGGUACAGCUACGGAUUUUGUCCUUUUUCUUUCGACUUUAUCGUGUUCCACAGCAUUUUCAUCUAUCUUUCUUUUUUCAAUAGAAGGCAGUUCGUUUUCUUCAUGUAAUAAACCUUUAAGGUCCAUUCGUGAUGAAUUCGUACUUUUCUUAGUUAAUAUGGUUAGUAGGUGUACUCACUUAACGUGUACAUCCACGUUGCUAAGUUUGUCCCAAAACUGAAGUCAACUAAAUUGUUCAAUAGCAUUACUUUUAAUUAUACAUUUCUUCUUGUAAACAUAUUAAUUGAUUCUGACACUGUCACUUUCGGUAGUUCCUUUUUGCCGUUUAGUACUUAGUAUACCGACAGGUUGUUUAACAUAUGCAAAAAGGAUAUAUUAAAAAUGGGAUUUGUUGAAUAAAAUAGUUUGAUGUGAAA
Molecule: long non-coding RNA, 1548 nt
Filed under: Schizosaccharomyces pombe (fission yeast)
Lineage: Eukaryota; Fungi; Ascomycota; Schizosaccharomycetes; Schizosaccharomycetales; Schizosaccharomycetaceae
Source: RNAcentral